UGUUGGGUUAAGUCCCGCAACGAGCGCAACCCCUGCAUCCAGUUGCCAUCGGGCGAGCCGGGCACUCUGGAGGGACUGCCGGCGACAAGCCGGAGGAAGGUGGGGAUGACGUCAAGUCAUCAUGGCCCCUUAUGUCCAGGGCGACACACGUGCUACAAUGGCCGGCACAGCGGGAAGCGGAGGGGCGACCCUGAGCGGAAUCCCUUGAAAGCCGGUCCCAGUUCGGAUUGCAGUCUGCAACUCGACUGCAUGAAGUUGGAAUCGCUAGUAAUCGCGGAUCAGCCAAGCCGCGGUGAAUACGUUCCCGGGCCUU
RNAcentral lists this ribosomal RNA (313 nucleotides) under uncultured Thermovirga sp. Its description in RNAcentral is "bacterial SSU rRNA". It matches the Rfam family "Bacterial small subunit ribosomal RNA", at positions 1073 to 1382 of the family's 1533-position model. Lineage: Bacteria; Thermotogati; Synergistota; Synergistia; Synergistales; Thermovirgaceae. The record is from RNAcentral.